CUCCUUACGAACCCGCACUCAAGGCCCAAUACUUCUAAGCCCAAAUUCGGGGUGUUACAUAUACGACACUUAUUAGUUAUGGCUGAGUGAAUGUAUUUCGGCAUAGGAAUUCUUCCUAAAUUCCAAUUCCCCGAAUUGCUCCUUGAUUUUUGGCCACAUUCAAUGUUUGAAUUCCAUUCAAACUCUUAACAGAUCAAGCCCACCUUUUGUACCGCCUCAGCAUGCUGCCAAGAGUCCUGAUCAAAAACCUCAACUCCUUCCCCACGCAUGCAGCAAAAAUCCCAACCUUGCGUGCACGAGAUGAAGCUCGAACCCUAGAC
This 320-nucleotide long non-coding RNA is filed under the name Gossypium barbadense (sea-island cotton). Its description in RNAcentral is "long non-coding RNA (GBAR_LNC012184)". The record is from RNAcentral. Lineage: Eukaryota; Viridiplantae; Streptophyta; Magnoliopsida; Malvales; Malvaceae.